UGAGGAAUAUUGGUCAAUGGGCGGGAGCCUGAACCAGCCAAGUCGCGUGAAGGAAGAAGGAUCUAUGGUUCGUAAACUUCUUUUGCAGGGGAAUAAAGUGCAGGACGUGUCCUGUUUUGUAUGUACCCUGAGAAUAAGGAUCGGCUAACUCCGUGCCAGCAGCCGCGGUAAUACGGAGGAUCCGAGCGUUAUCCGGAUUUAUUGGGUUAAAGGGUGCGUAGGUGGUUUGAUAAGUCAGCGGUGAAAGUUUGCAGCUUAACUGUAAAAAUGCCGGUGAAACUGUCGGACUUGAGUGUAAAUGAAGUAGGCGGAAUGCGUGGUGUAGCGGUGAAAUGCAUAGAUAUCACGCAGAACUCCGAUUGCGAAGGCAGCUUACUAAGCUACAACUGACACUGAAGCACGAAAGCGUGGGGAUCAAACA
RNAcentral lists this ribosomal RNA (421 nucleotides) under uncultured bacterium. RNAcentral describes it as "bacterial SSU rRNA". It matches the Rfam family "Bacterial small subunit ribosomal RNA", at positions 355 to 774 of the family's 1533-position model. The record is from RNAcentral.